CCUACGGGAGGCAGCAGUGAGGAAUAUUGGUCAAUGGACGAGAGUCUGAACCAGCCAAGUAGCGUGAAGGAUGACUGCCCUAUGGGUUGUAAACUUCUUUUAUAUGGGAAUAAAAUGUUCCACGUGUGGGAUUUUGUAUGUACCAUAUGAAUAAGGAUCGGCUAACUCCGUGCCAGCAGCCGCGGUAAUACGGAGGAUCCGAGCGUUAUCCGGAUUUAUUGGGUUUAAAGGGAGCGUAGGAGGAUUGUUAAGUCAGUUGUGAAAGUUUGCGGCUCAACCGUAAAAUUGCAGUUGAAACUGGCAGUCUUGAGUACAGUAGAGGUGGGCGGAAUUCGUGGUGUAGCGGUGAAAUGCUUAGAUAUCACGAAGAACUCCGAUUGCGAAGGCAGUUCACUGGACUGCAACUGACACUGAGGCUCGAAAGUGUGGGUAUCAAACAGGAUUAGAUACCCGUGUAGUC
RNAcentral lists this ribosomal RNA (460 nucleotides) under uncultured bacterium. RNAcentral's name for it is "partial 16S ribosomal RNA". It matches the Rfam family "Bacterial small subunit ribosomal RNA", at positions 338 to 795 of the family's 1533-position model. The record is from RNAcentral.